CAAGGAGUGUAGCUGUAAAAAAUCAUCAAAAUCGGAGUUAAAAUAACCGUUAAAUCGUGAUUUUUCGUUUAUAACCAUCGAUAAGUUUUGUCCCGUUACUUGAUCUCUUACUGUUUGUUUUUUACAAUUUUUGGCAUAUGCAAUCUCGAAGCAUAUACAAACAAAUUUGACUGUUGGAUCGUUGAAAAUAGUUUCACAAAAUACGUAUCUCAUCAAAACAAUAUAUUCGCUAACACUUAAGAGUUUAUUAAUAUUUUCAUUAAGUAUAACAUAAGAUUUUGUGAUAUCCACUAGUGUAAAUAUUUUAAAUUGAAGAUCGAAUUCAUUCAUUGUAUUCAUAUAGGGUCAAGGAGUGUAGCUGUAAAAAAUUAUCAAAAUCGGAGUUAAAAUAACCGUUAAAUCGUGAUUUUUCGUUUAUAACCGUCGAAAAGUUUUGUCCUGUUACUUGAUCUCUGAAUGUUUGUUUUUUGCAAUUUUUGGCGUAUGCGAUCUCGAAGUAUAUACAAACAUGUUUGACGGUUGGAUCGUUGAAACUAGUUUCGUAGAAUGCGUAUCCUAUCAAAACAAUAGAUUCACUAACACUUAAGAGUUUAUUCAUAUUUUCAUCAAGUAUAACAUAAGAUUUUGUGGUAUCCACUAGUGUAAAUAUUUUAAAUUGAAGAUCGAAUUCAUUCAUUGUAUUCAUAUAGGGUCAAGGAGUGUAGAUGUAAAAAAUCAUCAAAAUCGGAGUUUAAAUAACCGUUAAAUCGUGAUUUUUCGUUUAUAACCGUCGAAAUGUUUUGUCCCGUUACUUGAUCUCUGAAUGUUUGUUUUUUGCAAUUUUUGGCGUAUGCGAUCUCGAAGCAUAUACAAACAAGUUUGACAGUUGGAUCGUUGAAACUAGUUUCGCAAAAUGCGUAUCUCAUCAAAACAAUAAAUUCACUAACACUUAAGAGUUUAUUCAUAUUUUCAUUAAGUAUAACAUAAGAU
Molecule: long non-coding RNA, 969 nt
Filed under: Malus domestica (apple)
Lineage: Eukaryota; Viridiplantae; Streptophyta; Magnoliopsida; Rosales; Rosaceae
Description: long non-coding RNA (MDOM_LNC002813)
Source: RNAcentral